RNAcentral lists this transfer RNA (74 nucleotides) under Pseudomugil gertrudae (spotted blue-eye). RNAcentral describes it as "tRNA-Lys". It matches the Rfam family "tRNA". From Rfam's summary of the family: Transfer RNA (tRNA) molecules are approximately 80 nucleotides in length. Their secondary structure includes four short double-helical elements and three loops (D, anti-codon, and T loops). Lineage: Eukaryota; Metazoa; Chordata; Actinopteri; Atheriniformes; Pseudomugilidae. The record is from RNAcentral.
CGCUAAGAAGCUGAACUGGGCCCAGCGUUAGCCUUUUAAGCUAAAGAUUGGUGAUUCCCGCCCACCCCUAGCGA